AAGUCGUAACAAGGUUUCCGUAGGUGAACCUGCGGAAGGAUCAUUACCGAGUGAGGGUCCCCCGGGGCCCAAACCUCCCACCCUUUGUCAACCAUACCUUUGUUGCUUUGGCGGGCCCGUGGGGUCACACCCGCCGUCGGCCCCGGCUGGCGAGCGCCCGUCAGAGUCCCCUCAAACUCCGUGAAUUGUGACGUCUGAGCAAACAUUUAAUAGCAUAAAACUUUCAACAACGGAUCUCUUGGUUCUG
This 247-nucleotide unclassified non-coding RNA is filed under the name Anzina sp. Its description in RNAcentral is "partial contains small subunit ribosomal RNA, internal transcribed spacer 1, and 5.8S ribosomal RNA". The stretch from base 1 to 46 matches the Rfam family "Eukaryotic small subunit ribosomal RNA", at positions 1786 to 1831 of the family's 1831-position model. Lineage: Eukaryota; Fungi; Ascomycota; Lecanoromycetes. The record is from RNAcentral.